CAGCAGCCGCGGUAAUACGUAGGGUGCGAGCGUUAAUCGGAAUUACUGGGCGUAAAGCGUGCGCAGGCGGUUUUGUAAGACAGGCGUGAAAUCCCCGGGCUCAACCUGGGAAUGGCGCUUGUGACUGCAAAGCUAGAGUGCGGCAGAGGGGGAUGGAAUUCCGCGUGUAGCAGUGAAAUGCGUAGAUAUGCGGAGGAACACCGAUGGCGAAGGCAAUCCCCUGGGCCUGCACUGACGCUCAUGCACGAAAGCGUGGGGAGCAAACAGGAUUAGAUACCCCCGUAGUCCCUGUCUCUUAUAC
Molecule: ribosomal RNA, 301 nt
Filed under: uncultured bacterium
Lineage: Bacteria
Description: partial 16S ribosomal RNA
Rfam family: Bacterial small subunit ribosomal RNA
Source: RNAcentral